UGGUAGAUAUACCCUGGUAACUUGGCUUCCCUAGUUAGCUAUCAAGCACUAGGGUUUUUUCUU
RNAcentral lists this small RNA (63 nucleotides) under Fischerella thermalis JSC-11. RNAcentral describes it as "Fischerella sp. JSC-11 Nitrogen stress-induced RNA 1". It matches the Rfam family "Nitrogen stress-induced RNA 1". The record is from Rfam by way of RNAcentral. Lineage: Bacteria; Bacillati; Cyanobacteriota; Cyanophyceae; Nostocales; Hapalosiphonaceae.